This 200-nucleotide unclassified non-coding RNA is filed under the name uncultured Russula. RNAcentral describes it as "sequence contains ITS1". Lineage: Eukaryota; Fungi; Basidiomycota; Agaricomycetes; Russulales; Russulaceae. The record is from RNAcentral.
CAGUACUACAGAGGUGCUCAGGUUGUCGCUGACCUUUUGGUCGUGCACGCCCGAGUGCUCUCAAUCCAUGUCACCCUUUGUGCAUCACCGCGCGAGGUCUCUUCCUCUUGGCUUGCUUCAAGAGGGGGAGGUUCGCGUUUUUCAUACAAACACCCUUUUAGUUUAGAAUGUCAUUCAUUUGCGAUAAUACGCAAUCAAUA